Molecule: unclassified non-coding RNA, 366 nt
Filed under: soil metagenome
Description: partial contains 5.8S ribosomal RNA, internal transcribed spacer 2, and large subunit ribosomal RNA
Rfam family: 5.8S ribosomal RNA (bases 1-120)
Source: RNAcentral
GAUGAAGAACGUAGCGAAAUGCGAUACGUAAUGUGAAUUGCAGAAUUCAGUGAAUCAUCGAGUCUUUGAACGCACAUUGCGCCCCCUGGUAUUCCGGGGGCCAUGCCUGUCCGAGCGUCAUUGCUGCCCUCAAGCACGGCUUGUGUGUUGGGCCCCCGUCCCCCUCUUUUUAGGGGGGGACGGGCCCGAAAGGCAGCGGCGGCACCGUGUCCGGUCCUCGAGCGUAUGGGAAGCAACUCUUUUUGUCACCCGCUCCUGUAGGUCCGGCCGGCGGCCUGCCCAACCCUCAAUCAAUCUUUUUAACCAGGUUGACCUCGGAUCAGGUAGGGAUACCCGCUGAACUUAAGCAUAUCAAUAAGCGGAGGA